GACGGGGAGCACCACAACGGGUGGAGCUUGCGGUUAAUUGGAUUCAACGCCGGAAAUCUUACCGGGACCGACAGCAAUAUGAAGGCCAGGCUGAAGACUUUGCCGGAUUAGCUGAGAGGUGGUGCAUGGCCGUCGUCAGUUCGUACUGUGAAGCAUCCUGUUAAGUCAGGCAACGAGCGAGACCCACGCCCACAGUUGCCAGCGUACUCUCUGGAGUGACGGGUACACUGUGGGACCGCCGCUGCUAAAGCGGAGGAAGGAAUGGGCAACGGUAGGUCAGUAUGCCCCGAAUAUCCCGGGCUACACGCGAGCUACAAUGGUUGGUACAAUGGGUAUCUACCCCGAAAGGGGACGGGAAUCUCCUAAAACCAAUCUUAGUUCGGAUUGAGGGCUGCAACUCGCCCUCAUGAAGCUGGAAUCCGUAGUAAUCGCGUUUCAACAGAACGCGGUGAAUACGUCCCUGCUCCUU
This 469-nucleotide ribosomal RNA is filed under the name uncultured Methanosaeta sp. RNAcentral describes it as "bacterial SSU rRNA". It matches the Rfam family "Archaeal small subunit ribosomal RNA", at positions 871 to 1337 of the family's 1478-position model. Lineage: Archaea; Methanobacteriati; Methanobacteriota; Methanomicrobia; Methanotrichales; Methanotrichaceae. The record is from RNAcentral.